CUCCACCGAAGCUUCUUGCCUGCGCUGCUGCUCCCCCGGGGUCUGGCCUGACCCUAAACCCGGGCUUAGCCACGCCCCCUUCCCGUCCCGCCCCCUCUCCGGGCCAAUCGGGACCGGCGGCCCGGGCGGGGCCGAAGUCGGGGCGGGGCCUCGCCCUCCCACUACCCACGGCGGCGCCUGCGGCUCCGGAAACGCGCCGCUGGGCUGCUAGGCUCAGCAGUGCGCUAGCUGCUCCGUGGCGCUUCCUGCCACGCGAGGCCUGGGCCUCGCCAGCGCUGCUCCGUCAAGGGCCGCGCGUCGGCCGCCGCCAGGCUAGGGAUUCAGUGACGUUUGGUAAUGUGGCACAAUACCUCAUCAAGCGGAGUGAUUGAAGCUGGACCCUGAGCAGAGGACCUCAGCAUAUUGAAGAAACGUGAUAUCUGUGGGAGUUCCUGUUUUGACCCUCACCUUGGUCUCUCACCUGGAGCAAGUCAGAGCCAUCCCCUAACGUGGAUUGAGCUAAACAUUCAGGUGAGUAAAAAAAUUGAAGAAAUGUCAGGGCAUCAUGGGGGAGGCCCAGCUGAAGCUUUGGGGAGGAAGCCACAUGUUUGGGGUGUGGCUUGAUCCUCAGUCACCUUGAGAGGGAGCUUCCAGCAACCAGGCCCUUAUGCCCUUUCUGUCUACUGUCCUUAUUUCUGGUUGGUGACCUCCUGCCAACUGGUCAGCAGCUGUCUCUGGAGCAAAGUGAUUGUUGACACUCACUCGUUUUGCUGUGAUUAUUCCUUCCUCC
Bos grunniens (domestic yak) is the source of this 769-nucleotide long non-coding RNA. The record is from Ensembl. NCBI's taxonomy places the organism in Eukaryota, Metazoa, Chordata, Mammalia, Artiodactyla, Bovidae.